Guyanagaster necrorhizus is the source of this 73-nucleotide non-coding RNA. The record is from the annotation of a RefSeq genome assembly. Lineage: Eukaryota; Fungi; Basidiomycota; Agaricomycetes; Agaricales; Physalacriaceae.
UCCUCCUUAGCUCAGUUGGUAGAGCGCGUCACUUGUAAUGACGAGGUCAGUCGUUCAAGUCGGCUAGGUGGAA